UUUUAUUCCUUUAGCUCAUUAUUACAUUAUGUUGAUCCAACUGUAGGUUCUUACAAUGGAGCAUGUUCAAGGAAUCAAGAUCAAUAUGAUACAAGCUUUAGACCAAUUAGGUGUUGAUCAUAAAAAGUUCCACAGGCUGGGCAUGCAUGCUGUUGAAUCAUAUCUUGAACAAAUACUGUCUCACGGUGAAUAAAUUUGAUUUAAUGUUAUUAAAUUGUUGGUGACACACAAGUUGGGAAUGCUUAUAUUCAGCAGUAUUAUCAUAUACUGCACCAGUCACCUGGGGUGGUUCAUCAUUUUUAUCAGGAUAUCAGUAAACUUGGUCGGCCCGAGGAAGAUAGUUCUAUGAGCAUAACCACUACUAUGGAUGCUGAGAUCAAAUCCGUUGAUGCUCAAGAAUCCCUAAACGGUGGAGUCAGUGUUCUGGUAACUGGAUACAUGAAUGGAAUGGAUAAUAUUCAGCAGCAGUUCACACAAUCUUUCUUCCUCGCACCUCAAGAUAAAGGCUACUUUGUCUUGAAUGGCGUGUUUCGCUACAUGAACAUUGACAACCAUCAUGACGAAGACCAUGCUCCUAUUGAGGAUGUGGUGGCUUCUGCAACUCCCGAGCAAGGUGACACAUUUGAUGAAUUGAUGUCAGUCAUUAUAUUGGAACUUGUAUUGGUUUAUUCCGUAUUAAUUUUUUGAAAUGAAAUGAGUUUCAGUGCCUGAGGUUGU
This is an RNA transcript of Helianthus annuus (common sunflower), 717 nucleotides long. It is a transcript of the gene named nuclear transport factor 2, with no coding region annotated. NCBI's taxonomy places the organism in Eukaryota, Viridiplantae, Streptophyta, Magnoliopsida, Asterales, Asteraceae. The record is from RefSeq and is a predicted model, not a curated record. The transcript has 4 exons.